This 165-nucleotide small nuclear RNA is filed under the name Helobdella robusta. RNAcentral describes it as "U1 spliceosomal RNA". It matches the Rfam family "U1 spliceosomal RNA". From Rfam's summary of the family: U1 is a small nuclear RNA (snRNA) component of the spliceosome (involved in pre-mRNA splicing). Its 5' end forms complementary base pairs with the 5' splice junction, thus defining the 5' donor site of an intron. Lineage: Eukaryota; Metazoa; Annelida; Clitellata; Rhynchobdellida; Glossiphoniidae. The record is from Rfam by way of RNAcentral.
AAACUUACCUGGCACAGGAGACACCGUGAUCACGAAGGCGGUUUUCCCGGAACGAGACCCAGCCAUUGCACCUGGGAUGGGUUGACUUCUGCGAUUACCCCUAAUGUGGGUAACUCGGGUGCAUCAUUUUUGAUAGUGGGGGAACUGCGUUCGCGCUAUUUCCCU